AACGCAACUUGCACCCUUUGGUAUUCCGAAGGGUAUGUCUGUUUGAGUGUCAUUAAAUCUAUCAACUUCUUAAAGUCUCAUAUCUUUUUGAGGUUUGGAUAAUGGAGGUCUGUUGGUCGCAGUAAAGUGAUUGACUCCUCUGAAAUAUAUUAGCUAGGAUUGUUUCUUAAGCUUAUUGGUGUGAUAAUUAUCAUCGCCAAGUGGCUUUUCAAGUUAAAUCCUGCUUAUAAUGGAGCCUUCUAGUUUUUAGAGGCUUAUAUUAUGACAGUUGUGACCUCAAAUCAGGCAGGACUACCCGCUGAACUUAA
RNAcentral lists this unclassified non-coding RNA (308 nucleotides) under uncultured fungus. RNAcentral's name for it is "partial contains 5.8S ribosomal RNA, internal transcribed spacer 2, and large subunit ribosomal RNA". The stretch from base 1 to 52 matches the Rfam family "5.8S ribosomal RNA", at positions 103 to 154 of the family's 154-position model. The record is from RNAcentral. Lineage: Eukaryota; Fungi.